RNAcentral lists this ribosomal RNA (717 nucleotides) under Scleroderma sp. 1 SS-2016. RNAcentral's name for it is "eukaryotic LSU rRNA". The stretch from base 270 to 424 matches the Rfam family "5.8S ribosomal RNA". Lineage: Eukaryota; Fungi; Basidiomycota; Agaricomycetes; Boletales; Sclerodermataceae. The record is from RNAcentral.
AGAGGAAGUAAAAGUCGUAACAAGGUUUCCGUAGGUGAACCUGCGGAAGGAUCAUUAUCGAAAUCGAAAGCCUAGGAGAAGGGGGGGACGCGAGACUGUCGCUGGCCUUUUCGGCACGUGCACGUGUCCGUCCCUCCCGCCUUCGAAGCUUUGAACCUCUCGACACCUGUGUGCACCCGCCGUAGGUCCUUCGGGAUCUAUGUCUUCUCUUCCGAACUCGCAUGUCUACAGAAUGUAUGCGUCGCGCAGGCGACUGCGAACCUUUGUACAACUUUCAGCAAUGGAUCUCUUGGCUCUCGCAUCGAUGAAGAACGCAGCGAAUCGCGAUAAGUAAUGUGAAUUGCAGAUUUUCCGUGAAUCAUCGAAUCUUUGAACGCACCUUGCGCUCCUCGGUAUUCCGAGGAGCAUGCCUGUUUGAGUGUCAUCGAAAUCUCGAACCGAAGUCUUUCGACGUCGUCGGAGCCUCGGUCUCGGACAUUGGGAGCGUGCGGGCGGCGACGUCGGCUCUCCUCAAAAGCAUUAGCUGUGGGCGUGGGCCUCGCACGGCACGGCCGCUUCGACGUCAUAAUGAUCGUCGUGGGCUGGAAGUGCGUGGGUCGACGUGGUCCCCAUGCUUCGAAACCUCCUGCGAGUCCGUCCUUUGUCCGGACGGUCGCGCGCACGAUCGAUGCUUGACCUCAAAUCAGGUAGGACUACCCGCUGAACUUAAGCAUAUCA